This 121-nucleotide ribosomal RNA is filed under the name Spathaspora passalidarum NRRL Y-27907. Lineage: Eukaryota; Fungi; Ascomycota; Pichiomycetes; Serinales; Debaryomycetaceae. The record is from RNAcentral.
GGUUGCGGCCAUAUCUAGUAGAAAACACCGUUUCUCGUCCGAUCAACUGUAGUUAAGCUGCUAAGAGCGAGACCGAGUAGUGUAGUGGGAGACCAUACGCGAAACUCUCGUGCUGCAAUCU